Molecule: non-coding RNA, 1547 nt
Organism: Paralichthys olivaceus (Japanese flounder)
Lineage: Eukaryota; Metazoa; Chordata; Actinopteri; Pleuronectiformes; Paralichthyidae
Source: RefSeq, a predicted model, not a curated record
AUCGGAACGAUGGAGCAAUAUGGCCGACACUGUGGACACGUGAGGUGUCGGGACAUAAACCUGAAGCUCUCAUUGAAAGGUGCUGUUGUCAGGAUAAUGUAUGCUGCAGCCUCUCAUGUUGACCACAAGAGGCCCAACCUGCAGGUGGCAGAGCAGCUGGCCUACUACGUCCAUGUGAAGGGGACAGUAAUCACAGAGGAGACGUUUGAUGUGGCCGAGCAGUUUGGCACGGCGCGGGCCGACCUCACCCAGAGCCGUGCGAGGUGACCUGUUUGCUUGCCCCCUUUGGUCGCCCUCAGCACCUACUGGGAAAAGAGCAUCAAGGAAUCAAGGACAACUACGGCGCCAACAUGUGCUCAGACCUCACCAGCUUCACAGAUAAUGUUUGCAUGAAGGUGGCCAACAUGGUGCUGUACAUCCCAAAUGAAAGGCCUGCAGCGCAGCCCUGAGGAGGCCAGCAAGGACAAGACGGCAGUACAGAGGACUGAGAACCAAAGAGCUACUGAAUGCACACGGUGGGAUUGAAGGAUUCAGCCUGCAGGCUACCUGUAAGAGAUGGGCUUCUGGAGAAGCUGCUGUGCCAAUGUGUUGGGCACAUCAGCCAGCAGAUGGAGAAGCCAGAGGUGAAGCAGAUGGAGAGAACACAUACAGAUCUAUUUUCUGGAGGUACAGAACCACUGUCUGGAAGCACGGACACAUCCUACCCAUCUAUAUUGAAGAGGCCAUGUGACAAUGCUCCUCAGCUGUGACACGCUGCUGCAUCAACUGAAUCAACUCCCACCACGUAUCAUCGAUCGCUUCUACGAGAUGAGUAAUGAGAUCAUUCGCCUGUACUCCCAAAGCAUCUCGGUGGACAAGAUCUUUAAGGGCUACGUGAUCUCCAGCAGGCAAAAAAACUCAGCGACUGACUCUGUGCCGUAAAAAUGUACCUGCAUAUGCACCAAGCAGAUUUACUACAAGACCAUCGAGGGACAAUCAGGAGCCGCACUGAUGAUCCUUCUCCAGCCAGGUUCCUGAUGUGCAGGCUGUCGAACAAAAGCUUUCAGCCUCAUCUCACAACACCUUGACUUCACAAGGGUUAAGGGUCAGCCAGCUGCUCUGAUGCCUGUGGAGUCGGUCAAGAAGCCCUUGAAAAAUCCCUCAGUGCAGCUUUAAUCCCGCAGCUCUGACUUGCUCAAAGCUUUGUCAUGCGGGAUACCGUUUUCUCUCUUGACCGUGUGACUGCCAGAAGCAGCUUGCCUGUUGGGAGGAGGGUCGGCAGCGGGUCUUGCCAGGCUUUGGUGGGCGCCAUGAGCCAGAGGUCAUCCACUGCCUGCUGGAAAUACAGUCGCUGCCUACAGAUUGUGCACAUUGUUGGCACAGGCAUCCUGGACGUCAAAACACCACCUGGCUCAAUGAUUACAACAGGUGAUUCCGAAGGCACACAUCGUUCCUUAGACACACAGCCCUGGGCGGGCAGAUGGUGUUGGCCUCUGGCCAGAUGUUCCAGGUUUUGGAUGAGGUGCUGAGGAGGCCUGGACUGGCAGAGACUUAAAACAACACAGCCA